UGCGUAGGCGGAUCAGUAAGUCAGUGGUGAAAUCUUCCGGCUCAACCGGGAACCUGCCAUUGAUACUGUUAGUCUUGAGUUCGGCUGAGGUAGGCGGAAUGUGUAAUGUAGCGGUGAAAUGCUUAGAUAUUACACAGAACACCAAUUGCGUAGGCAGCUUACUAGACCGACACUGACGCUGAGGCACGAAAGCGUGGGGAGCGAACAGGAUUAGAUACCCUGGUAGUCC
Molecule: ribosomal RNA, 229 nt
Filed under: uncultured bacterium
Lineage: Bacteria
Description: partial 16S ribosomal RNA
Rfam family: Bacterial small subunit ribosomal RNA
Source: RNAcentral